Molecule: long non-coding RNA, 562 nt
Organism: Cornus florida
Lineage: Eukaryota; Viridiplantae; Streptophyta; Magnoliopsida; Cornales; Cornaceae
Exons: 4
Source: RefSeq, a predicted model, not a curated record
CAAUAUAUAUUUUCUAUAGAAAAUUAGAAACCCUAUGUUCCCUUCUUCUUUACUCCCAUUCUCAAAGUCGCCUCCCUUAACUUUCCAAAAAAAAAAAAAAAAAGUUCGCCUUCUCUCUUUUCAGCUUCCAUCGCCCGUUGGUCCAGAUCGGAUUCGCCGUUCACAAUUUCCAUCGCCCGUUGUUCCAGAUCGGAUUCGUCAUUCGCUAGCUUCAGCCGCUGGCAGCUAUCUCUCAACUCAAAAGGCAAUAGUGUGAAGAAGGCCACAAAGCAACUUCGUGCUUGUCUAUCUUGGAGAGAGAGUAUCGACACUGAGCAUUUGACUGCUGAUGAGUUCUCCGCCGAGCUCGCCGAAGGCCUAGCUUAUGUUGCCAGUCACGACGAAGAAUCCAGACCGGUAAUGAUUUUUCGAAUCAAGCAAGACUACCAGAAGUUCCAUUCGCAGAAACUGUGAGUCAUCUCAGAAAAAUAAUUAUUUUUUGUAACUUCGUACGACUGUAAUUCUUUAUUUUGUUAACUUUGUAUUUAUUUAUUAUUAAUGUUGGACUUGUAUGUUUUGUAUU